AUCGAACGCUGGCGGCAGGCCUAACCCAUGCAAGUCGAACGAGUGGCGGACGGGUGAGUAAGGUCUGGGAAACUGUAUGAUGGAGGGGGAAAAAUACUGGAAACGGUAGCUAAUACCGCAUCCCAUCAGAUGUGCCCAGAUGGGAUUAGCUAGUUGGUGUGGUAACGGCUAACCAAGGCGACGAUCCCUAGCUGGUCUGAGAGGAUGACCAGCCAAACUGGAACUGAGACACGGUCCAGACUCCUACGGGAGGCAGCAGUGGGGAAUAGUGCGCAAUGGGCGCAAGCCUGAUGCAGCCAUGCCGCGUGUAUGAAGAAGGCCUUCGGGUUGUAAAGGACUUUCGGCGGGGAGGCGUUACCCACAGAAGAAGCACCGGCUAACUCCGUGCCAGCAGCCGCGGUAAUUC
This 406-nucleotide ribosomal RNA is filed under the name uncultured bacterium. RNAcentral's name for it is "partial 16S ribosomal RNA". It matches the Rfam family "Bacterial small subunit ribosomal RNA", at positions 30 to 526 of the family's 1533-position model. The record is from RNAcentral.